RNAcentral lists this small RNA (355 nucleotides) under uncultured fungus. RNAcentral's name for it is "eukaryotic LSU rRNA". The stretch from base 1 to 128 matches the Rfam family "5.8S ribosomal RNA", at positions 27 to 154 of the family's 154-position model. The record is from RNAcentral. Lineage: Eukaryota; Fungi.
CUGGCAUCGAUGAAGAACGCAGCGAAAUGCGAUAAGUAAUGUGAAUUGCAGAAUUCAGUGAAUCAUCGAAUCUUUGAACGCACAUUGCGCCCGCCAGUAUUCUGGCGGGCAUGCCUGUUCGAGCGUCAUUUCAACCCUCAAGCCCCAGCGGCCUGGUGUUGGGGACCGGCGACCUCGCUGACGCCCUUCUUGGGCCCAGCGUCCGCCGCCCCCGAAAUGAAUUGGCGGUCUCGUCGCGGCCUCCUCUGCGUAGUAGCACAACCUCGCAACAGGAGCGCGACGCGGCCACUGCCGUAAAACGCCCAACUUUUUUAGAGUUGACCUCGGAUCAGGUAGGAAUACCCGCUGAACUUAA